Molecule: transfer RNA, 85 nt
Filed under: Bacteroidota bacterium
Lineage: Bacteria; Pseudomonadati; Bacteroidota
Description: tRNA-Ser
Rfam family: tRNA
About the family: Transfer RNA (tRNA) molecules are approximately 80 nucleotides in length. Their secondary structure includes four short double-helical elements and three loops (D, anti-codon, and T loops). Further hydrogen bonds mediate the characteristic L-shaped molecular structure. tRNAs have two regions of fundamental functional importance: the anti-codon, which is responsible for specific mRNA codon recognition, and the 3' end, to which the tRNAs corresponding amino acid is attached (by aminoacyl-tRNA synthetases). tRNAs cope with the degeneracy of the genetic code in two manners: having more than one tRNA (with a specific anti-codon) for a particular amino acid; and 'wobble' base-pairing, i.e. permitting non-standard base-pairing at the 3rd anti-codon position.
Source: RNAcentral
GGGGAGGUGUCAGAGUGACCGAAUGUGCCUGAUUCGAAAUCAGGUGUAUUGCAAGGUACCGGGGGGAUGAAUCCCUCCCUCUCCG